AAAAUCCAACUGGAAAUUAAAUUUGGUUUCAAAGAUAAAGGGAAACCAAUAAAUUUUAUUUUGUUUUUUAGAUGUUGUGAUAAACUGGAGACCUAAUCAGAGGGCAACACCAGCCCCCCCAUGGAUGGAUGGAUGGAUGGAUGGAUGACUGUGCUGGAUGCUUAAUGGAUGAUUUUCCAGCACAUCCUUCAGCCGCACUGCAUCCUGGUCCUCCCCCUGCAGCAGACUCUUCCCUCUGGGGGUUGGAAAGGAUCAGUGUAAUAUCUGGCCACCAGCUGUUGCUGCUUCCUCCGCUCGCUGCGCUUUGUCAGCGCUCCGGUGAAAGGCGGAGCGCCGAGGGAGCUUUACCGCCAGCAGGUGACUGAUGUCCGCCUGAAAUGUCAGGCCUCACCGGCAGCCACAUCCAGACUCACCUCAAGACAAGCUCCGCCAUGCUGGAGGCGGGCUGCUCUAAAUGAAACGAUCCCUCAGACUUAGAAAACCCUGAUCUUCUACCAACCUGAGUUCGUCUCUGAAGCUUCAAAAAUAUCUCUUCUGCUCCUCUAGGGGGGGAACUCUUUUCCAUCUUUAGAUGUUGACUUUAUUUAAUGUAUCUCCAUUCAUAAUGUUUGUGCCCUUUUCCCCCUUUCAUCAGUUUAAAUAAUACAACAGUCAGACCUUCAAAGAGUUGCGUUCUGAUGCAACCCGCAGCAACGGUCCAGUUAAAGCCAGAAUCUCUCGUCUCUGCGGCGUCCAGAGCCAGCGCCGGGUUUCAUCACUGCUUGUUGCUAACCUUGUUUAUCUUUAAAGAAAACGUUCUUCUGAAGAUCCAAACCAGCGCAUUACACUGUAAAAAAUUAACAGCAAUAUUUUGGUUUAUUUAGCCUGUCAGAGAAAAAAUAACUUUUCAGACAUAUUUUCACCACGUUGUUCAUACAUUUAAAAAUGUCAGAGUAAAUAUUUAAUUCACAAGAGAAAUAUUUAUUUUACAAACUUUAGCUUUCACAUUAAAUAUUUAACAACUAAGCUAGAUAUUUAGUUUGAAAAAUGAGUAGCUAGUUUAGAAGUAAAUAUUAAGUUAAAAAAUAAAUAUUUAAUUUGAAACCAGAAUUUUGGUUGAAAAG
Xiphophorus couchianus (Monterrey platyfish) is the source of this 1103-nucleotide long non-coding RNA. RefSeq lists it as uncharacterized. NCBI's taxonomy places the organism in Eukaryota, Metazoa, Chordata, Actinopteri, Cyprinodontiformes, Poeciliidae. The transcript has 3 exons. The record is from RefSeq and is a predicted model, not a curated record.